CCUUCUACACCCCCAACCCCCCACCUCACCACGCAGCUGACUCUCCAGCAACUUAGCACCCUCCAUCUCACGCUUCAAUUUUUCCUCCUACCCCUCGCACUACCUCGCCCACAGACAACCCUUUCAUGGUUGCUUUUCAGAGAGUGCGUGAAGCCGAAGGUGCCGAGGGUGUGACUGUGCGUCGCUGUUCGUUGAGCCGCGAACGACAGCGCCACGACUGCUGCCAUUUCUCGAUUUCCCGCCCCUCCCCCUACCCCCUUGUUUUCCUGUCUCCUCCUUUAUCCUCGUGUUGCUGCCCUACUGCUUUGAAGGAGCCAUGUGGAGUACAGGAGUGGACGUGGGCGGCAGAGAGGUACACGUGCGUCUCUCACCCGGGGUCUAUCGCGCCGCGUAUUCGGCCCCACUGGCAAAUAUUGAUGCUGGCCCAGAUUGCGCUUCAACGGCGGCGAUGCCACCAAAAGACGUCGCGAAGGCCCUCUCUGACGCGCGGAGCCGCUUUCAUCAACUUCGAGACCUCCGACGGGAGCUCAGUGGCCGCCAUCUGCCAAACACCGACGGUUUCUCAGCAGCAGCGGCGCCGGCAGUGCACGCAUCGUCUGCAUUCCCCUCAACACUGCCCACGGCUACCUUAGCUCAAGCCUCGCUUUCUGUGACAUGCACACCAUCCGCUGCCUCCUUUGGUCUCCCACUCGACCGGCUCUCGGCGGAUGAUCCGGUCACGCGCUCUGUCUUGCGCACCGCCGCGGCGGAGCGUGCGCUACGCCUGCAGCAGGCCGAAAACGAUGAGCUGAAACGAGCGAUGGUGACGCAGCAACAGGAGGCCGCCCAAAUGCAGUGCUUGAUCGAUCGUCUCUCCUCAGAGCUCACCGAAAUGCGGCAGACGGUGCUGCGGCAGACAGCCACCAUGAAGUCGCUGGCGGCGGAAAUGGAGCGCCGAGAUGUGUAUCACUUGAUCAAAGAGAAGCACCGCAGCCAAGCGGCGGCGUCGGCGGUGGCGACUGCAAAUGCCUCGCCGGGCACCUUAUCUUCGCAAUCCUCGUUAAGCCACCAGCAGCGACUCGCGCAACUCGAGCAGCAGUUGGAGCAGCUCACGAAGGAGAAAGCAGAGUUGCAGCAGCAGGUGAGCCACCUUUCGUCUCGCCACGGUGGAAAGCGGCAGAGCACGCCGGCGAUCGAGGUUAUCGACAAGGACGAUGAUUUGGUGGGGGAGGGGAGCGGGGCUGACGGGUCGGUUUUAUCUGCGCGCGUGGAGUUGCAGAGGUUGGUGCAGGCCCUCGGUGCCAUACUCCAGGCCGGCGCUUCGCCUCUUGCGCGCAUCGGCGCGUGCUCCGAACCUAUUUACGAGUUGGAGCUGAGUCGCGUUACACGACUGGCCCCUGCUCGCACACAGCGCGACCCCGAUGACGAUGCGCGUGCACCAGGAAAGGUAAACUCUGUCGUAUGCAUCUGCGGCCCAUACAGUAUGCGCGACGUCCUUCUGCGCGUUCAACUAGUGACAGAGAAUGCGGGUUCACUGAUGCGGCGCUCUCGCGGGCUUGAGGGGGGGCCUCUGCAAAGCCCCGGGAGGUGCGUGUUGUACGCUAUGCGGGAUACGUGCAGUGCUGUGAGGAUCUGCCUGUACAAAGGGGUGGCCAAUACUGAGGUCGAAACAGGUGAGCCUUGUAGCACUGAGUCACCGGCGCCAACUGCCACAGCAACCGUUGCCGUGCACACCUUGAUCGCCACAGCCCUCGCCAGUGGCAACGAGCUAGAGACGAGGCAUGCUGCCUACAGCGUACACACGGUCCAUCUUGUCGAUGACAAGGGCGGAUUGCGUGACACCGUCACAUUCUGGGUUCGAGUCACGGAAGUGCAGCACCGGCGUUACAGCGGGUACAAAGGGAUCAGCUGCAUCGACAGCGAUGUUGAUGGCCGUCGAUGUGCGUCACCGUUCCAGUCACCUCGAACACUUGAGCCCGGUGGCGUUAGAAUCCGCGAGAGAAGCGCGACGCCACUCAGCAGUGCUGAUGCUGGCUCAGCGGAAGUUGAGAGCGUCACCAAAAACUUGCAACGCGGGCAGCGUCUUGGGCCUAUGCUCUCCCCCUCCCGAAACGACGAUGCCACACCUAUGAAAGGACAGCGCCUCUUCGCGCACUCGUCGUUCUCAUGCUCAACUGCUCCACCCGCCCCCACCGACGAUGCCAACUCACGCGGCUCCGCAGAGAAAGCGAAAGGCAUACUCGAGCAGGUGGAGCCGCAAACGAAGCCACUGCCAGCACUCCUGACUCCCUCGGAGGACUCCAAGAAGGCGGUGACUCGUGCAGCGGCAGCUGUCUUCUGCAGCGGGUCUAAGACCCCCAUAACGUUCGACGGAACUAGCGAGUCACAGAUCACGGAUGAUUCGGCGUUAGCAGCGGCGAGGACUACGACACUGCUGCCCGUGUAUGACACACCAGCCCCCAUGCCACCACGCCUCGCCGCGUCGUCUGACCCUUCCUCAACGGUAGGUGUCCGCCCCACUCCCAGUGCGCCCAACCUUUCUUGGCCACCGCCACCGCCUGUGGCCGUAGUGCCCGCUCCACCGCUGUCGUCGACACCGACCUCGACGCCCCCUGCUGACGCUGCCUAUGCGAUGCGGAUGCGCAUUAAAGAGGUGCACUUUCUUCACGAGGGCUGUGAGGACGACUUGGUGGAGGACAUGCUGGAGCAAUGCUCUCUGCAGGUGGUCGUCCGCGUAGAUGGCGAACCCGUUUUCACCGCACCAACGCGACGGAAUUCGUCGCAUGCGGUGUGGGGUGCCGAGGAAGGCAGUUUCACGCGCACGCUCACGACUGGGCAGGAGGUGCGCUUCGAGGUCCUUCACGGCGACAAGGCGCGAAGCCAAGCAGUGUUGCCUGCUUCAGAGAUCCUGAAUGCCAGUGGCGAGAAAGAGUUGACCUUGUUGUCCGUCAGCGGCGGUAGUCCUUGUGGACUGCUGACAAUGGUUUUUGAAGGAUCUGUGUAGGCACCUCAUGUGGCAUGUGCAUAAGACCACUUAUACGUACACAUGGUACCCUUCGGGUUCAUAGAUUGCACUCGCGACCCCGAGGAAGAGGGAGAUCUGCGUGCGUUGAGCGGGGUGGUAGCGCUGCUGGAUGCAUUUUUUUUUACUGCUCUUCGUGCUUCCCAGCUGUGCAUGUUCCUCUCCCCUCUUACACGAUCCGUGUAAAGUUGUAUUGCCGGCGUUCCUCGCUCCAUACCUCGCAGUACAUGGACGCGGGCGUGCCUAGAGGAACUGCAGAGAUGGACGAGGGGCGUGCCAUAGAUUUCAUAGGCCAGGGGUGCCAUAGUACUGCUUUUCGUGGCAGCAUCAGAGCCUAGAAUGAGACCAGAACGUUAUCACGAUAGGGAUAGCGAGAAGCCGACAAGGCAAAU
Molecule: unclassified non-coding RNA, 3393 nt
Filed under: Leishmania donovani
Lineage: Eukaryota; Euglenozoa; Kinetoplastea; Trypanosomatida; Trypanosomatidae
Description: gene:LdHU3.36.1210(CDS-product:hypothetical_prote in_conserved)
Source: RNAcentral